GAAAGCCUUCGGCUCAACCGAAGAAGUGCAUCGGAAACUGGGAAACUUGAGUGCAGAAGAGGACAGUGGAACUCCAUGUGUAGCGGUGAAAUGCGUAGAUAUAUGGAAGAACACCAGUGGCGAAGGCGGCUGUCUGGUCUGUAACUGACGCUGAGGCUCGAAAGUAUGGGUAGCAAACAGGAUUAGAUACCCUGGUAGUCCAUACCGUAAACGAUGAAUGCUAAGUGUUGGAGGGUUUCCGCCCUUCAGUGCUGCAGCUAACGCAUUAAGCAUUCCGCCUGGGGAGUACGGCCGCAAGGCUGAAACUCAAAGGAAUUGACGGGGGCCCGCACAAGCGGUGGAGCAUGUGGUUUAAUUCGAAGCUACGCGAAGAACCUUACCAGGUCUUGACAUACUAUGCAAAUCUAAGAGAUUAGACGUUCCCUUCGGGGACAUGGAUACAGGUGGUGCAUGGUUGUCGUCAGCUCGUGUCGUGAGAUGUUGGGUUAAGUCCCGCAACGAGCGCAACCCUUAUUAUCAGUUGCCAGCAUUAAGUUGGGCACUCUGGUGAGACUGCCGGUGACAAACCGGAGGAAGGUGGGGAUGACGUCAAAUCAUCAUGCCCCUUAUGACCUGGGCUACACACGUGCUACAAUGGAUGGUACAACGAGUUGCGAACUCGCGAGAGUAAGCUAAUCUCUUAAAGCCAUUCUCAGUUCGGAUUGUAGGCUGCAACUCGCCUACAUGAAGUCGGAAUCGCUAGUAAUCGCGGAUCAGCAUGCCGCGGUGAAUACGUUCCCGGGCCUUGUACACACCGCCCGUCACACCAUGAGAGUUUGUAACACCCAAAGUCGGUGGGGUAACCUUUUAGGAACCAGCCGCCUAA
Molecule: ribosomal RNA, 865 nt
Filed under: Lactiplantibacillus plantarum
Lineage: Bacteria; Bacillati; Bacillota; Bacilli; Lactobacillales; Lactobacillaceae
Description: bacterial SSU rRNA
Rfam family: Bacterial small subunit ribosomal RNA
Source: RNAcentral